AGAGAGAGGAGACAGAAACAGAGAGCUUCCAGCAGAUACAAGGUGUGUGUGUGUGUGUGUGUGUGUGUGUGUGUGUGUGUGUGUGUGUGUGUGUGUGUGUUGUGUAAGAGUUUAAAUGUAUAUUAAUGUAAUAUUCACUAACUAUCUGAACUCAUCUUCAUGCUGAUUGUUCUGUUCCAGGUGAACUAUGUCUCUGAGUUUGUCAACAAUACAAAUGAAGUUAUGAGACAAAUGGAACAAAAGUGGAGACGUGUUGUUCAUUUGAAUAGUUUUAAUGUUUGACAAUAAUCUAUUUUCCUUUAAUAUUCUUUCUACUGAUAAAUGAAUCUUUAAAAGUGAACAUGCAGCUGCCACUGACAGAUAAAUGUUCAGCUGCACCAACAACACUUUCUUUGUUGUUGUCAGUGAUCUGAACAUAUGAAUGAAGAUGUUGCUGGUGAAUAAAGACAGAGACUCUGCAGGAUGUUAACUCA
Molecule: long non-coding RNA, 473 nt
Organism: Acanthopagrus latus (yellowfin seabream)
Lineage: Eukaryota; Metazoa; Chordata; Actinopteri; Spariformes; Sparidae
Exons: 2
Source: RefSeq, a predicted model, not a curated record